GACGGAGGAUGCAAGCGUUAUCCGGAAUGAUUGGGCGUAAAGCGUCCGCAGGUGGCAGUUCAAGUCUGCUGUCAAAGACCGGGGCUUAACUUCGGAAAGGCAGUGGAAACUGAACAGCUAGAGUAUGGUAGGGGCAGAGGGAAUUCCUGGUGUAGCGGUGAAAUGCGUAGAGAUCGGGAAGAACACCGGUGGCGAAGGCGGUUCUCUGGGCAUUACCUGACGCUGAGGAGCGAAAGUGUGGGGAGCGAACAGG
RNAcentral lists this ribosomal RNA (253 nucleotides) under uncultured bacterium. Its description in RNAcentral is "partial 16S ribosomal RNA". It matches the Rfam family "Bacterial small subunit ribosomal RNA", at positions 524 to 776 of the family's 1533-position model. The record is from RNAcentral.